CUGGUCUCAGGAGCCUUUUCUGUGGGAUCCAAGGAGGGAUGGAGAGGGGGGCCCCCUGCCACCAGCCUUACACUUGGCUCCUGGGCCCAGUCCACACCAGCGUCCUGGGAAUGAGCCUCAAUUUUGAGCUGCCUGAAAACUUGGGACAGGUGGCUCCCCUGCAGCAGCAGAGCCGGGCUAGGUGAGAAGGAAAGUGCUAGAAGGACUUGAGUGCUGUAGGUGGGUGGGUGCGUCUGGCACAGGGACAGAGAGAGGAGGAUAUUCCUCCAUGAAAUAACAGGUGGGUGGAGUCGGGGCGUGUGGGAGCGGGAGGUCACGGGGUCACGUCGUGACGCAGCUGGGGCGCAGUUCGGGAUUGGCCAGGCAGGGAAGGGGCGGAGGGAACGCUGGUUGCCAGGGCUGGAGUGCAGCAGGGGGCCUGGUCCUGAGGGGUGAAGCGCGGGCUCCUGCGCCCUUUGGCUGUGAGGACGCUCCCGUGGUCCUCUCUCAAGGACACCCUUAAACAGUUUAGUGUGUGAGUACCAGCUUUAGAAGAGGCCGCACGGAGAUCGUGGUGGAGCGAGGCAAAAAGAAGAACGCUCUGCACUCAUGUCUGAAUGAACUAAAAUAAAAUCUUAAGCCCUCCAGCUGUGACAGAAUGGACACCCUGUUGGCAAAGGGGACUGCGGAAAAACCUGAGGCUGAGACACUGGCUACGAAGAGAUGGUGCUCAGACCUGAGGUUCAAAGAAGACUCAGGAUUCCGUGAAGGCCCAACAUCGGCUCCAGGUAGCAGCAGGGCCCCUGGAGCCACCUGGCUACGAGCUUUCCCUUGGGUGGAACAGGCUUUACCAUCCUUUUUGAUCAAAGAGAUUUUGUAUAUUUCGGAAUUUUUGUAAGAAGACACGUGCUUUCAUCUCUCCAGCAAGGCCCCUAUGAAGUACGGUUAGCCACCUAAACUGCCAUCAAAAUAAAAGAAAAAUUAUCCCAGAGUCAUGCAAGCUACACCAAACUGCACCAAGACAGCUGGAAGCCCAGCCCUAUAGGUGAUCUGAAAGUAAGAAUUUCCAGGUCUAAUUCCCAGGCCCCUCAAGCAGGCAUCUUCAGUAAGUAGAUAGGUUUUUCCCAAUAUUUUGGAUGAAGAAACCACAUUUUUUAUCUAAAAACUCCUUUUUUUUUCUGUUUUUUGUUUCUAUUUUUAUCUCCUCCCCACACAAAAGGUCCUUUAUGAAUACUCUUUCUUUUAAACCUCCCCUUUCGAGGAUUACACAUUGGAAGCUGAAUGGAGACUGCCUCAACCUAUCCCAAUUUCCCUUUUAAUCUUCCACUGUGACUUUUCUUUCAAACCGUGUCUCGCUCUUGCUAACUCUUACUGCUUUUCCAGCUGGUCAGACACAGACCCUGCGUCCCUUUGCACCGGUCUUUCUAGCCCUGGCCACAGGAACUGAUCAAUCUGAUUGCUAGCUAUGCCAACAUGCAGACCAUACAAAGGAAUCCGACCUCAUUGUUGUUUCUGCCAAUGUGAGUACCUGGUGGAAUUGCUCUGGAAGAGGAUGUAGGACAAGAAGGGGCACCCACAACCAGAGGAAACGUAUUAUGGUACUUGUCCUGUUGGUGAGUUGACUGAACAUGGAAAAAGUGUCUUUUGCUCUCAGGUAAGGUCACUAGAAAGAAAAUUUUUAUCUUGUCUGGGUGACAUUCUAGGGCAAUACUGUGAUCAAACCCCAUGGUUUGAUUUUACAGAUGGCAUUCUUGCACGUCUUAGAUGAGUCUGAUACCCUCAUGAUGUCAACGCUUGUUAAAUAAUCACGUGUUAUGAACAGCUCACAAGCCCCUGCAACUUGGGACUCUGCAUCCUGGAGACCUACUGACACCAACCAGACCCAUGGAUAGACGAGGGAAUGGAUCCAACAGCCUUGAAAGUCUCUACCCAGGAAACCUACCGACUGAGAAGAUAAUUUCUGCAUUCCAACCCUACGAGCUCAUCCCUCACCAAUCUGCAGACCCCAUUCCCCAGCCCUUUGCUCACCAAACUACCUUUAAAAACCCUUUCUCACAAAUUCUUGCAGAAGAUGGAUUUGAGAAAUUAUUCCCCUCUCCCCUCAUGGUGCCUGUGAUAAUAAAACUCUUUCUCUGCUGUAACCCCUGCUGUCUCAGCGUGUUGACCUCCUCUUGAGCAGCAGGCAAGGAACCUGGUUGGGCUGUAACAGAAACUGGAGAUGCAGAAGCGCCAAUGAGAAAGAAGUACAGCAAAGGCCAGACUGGGAAGUCACAGGCUCCAACCUGACCCUCUCUGUAAAUAGCACUGGUCUUUUUGUUGUGUGUGGCGAUAAAGUGUACAGUGGUCCCUACCUAGAUGGCCAGGCCACUAUGGACUUUGUUAUCUGACAUCUCUGUUACCAGGUAUUCCACUUUAAAUGCCAGCCGAACUGCAAACUUGGACUCUUUUGUUCAUAAAGUGGUACCACAUAAACGUGCUAGGUGCUAUAUUAUUUUAAAAAUCACCUGUAUGUCACAAUUCUAAGUGCUUUUUGGUGCUCAGAACUCUUUUCCCAGCAUUCGGAACUCAUGCGAUCGAAAAGGCAGUUUUGAAUCUUCCCAAGGUAAUAGAACAAGAGUUCAAUGUCACUCUGCAAGCACUGGGAACACUUCACUUCGAAGUCAACAGCUUAGACACUGUUGUAUUCCAAAACCUUGUGUUCUGGAUACCCUGACAGCUCAACAGGGAGGAACUUGUGUGGUUAUUGGCAAAAAAAAUGCUAUUUCUACAGAAACUACUCUAGGCAAGUAAGGACUAAUCUAUACCUCUUAAAAGAAAAGAUAAAUAUUCUUCAUCAGAUUAAUGAAGACCUAUUCCCCAAAAUGGGAGACAGGUUUGAUGGGGUGUGGAGAAAUGUAUUUAGAUCUGCUCUUUUCUACUUAUUUAUUUUCAUUUUAAUCCAUGUUCUUGUCUCUUUUUUCAGCUCUCUUGUUACUUGACUGCUGCUAACCAGAUCUCUGUCUCCAUAGUCACCUGCUUGGCUUUUAAUGAGCGAAAUUUCUAGGGAAGUUCCAGAUGGGGGCAAUGAAGGAGCUCAGGAAAUUUCGUCCCAGAAUAUGACUCCUUGGUAUAAAGAAUAUUUUGC
Non-coding RNA from Microcebus murinus (gray mouse lemur), 3103 nucleotides. The record is from RefSeq and is a predicted model, not a curated record. NCBI's taxonomy places the organism in Eukaryota, Metazoa, Chordata, Mammalia, Primates, Cheirogaleidae.